AAAAAAAAGAAAUUACAUUCGCUUUAAGAAGUUUAGGUAUCUCGGAUAGGAGGCUAAGGUAAUCCCUUAGCUAGGCUUAAUAUCCGUAGUCGAGACUGAAAGGUCGAUCGACCACAGUGUGGCCUGAACAAAGCCCAGGGUAUUUACUACAGCAGUGAGGAAUCUUGGUCAAUAGCCUAACGGCUGAACCAGCAACUUGGAGGAAUGUAUAGCGAAAGCUGGUUGUAUUAACUWAGGCUUAAUACAGGAUCGACUACGUCGAAUAAAAUUCUAGGUAGAGUUUUGAUAAUGACAUAUUCUACCUAUGUGUCUUGACCAAAUCACGUGCCAGCAGUCGCGGUAAUACGUGGAAGACUAGUGUUAUUCAUGUUAAAUAGGUUUAAAGGGUACUUAGACGGUAUAUUAAGCCCCAAAAGGGAACUAAUAAGACUAGAGUUUUAUGUGAGGGGGGGAGUAUUAAUGGAGUAGAGAUGAAAUUCUGUCAUACCAAGAAGAACAGGCGACGGCGAAAGCAACCCUUUAUGUAAAAACUGACGUUGAAGGACGAAGGCUCGUUACACCAACAGGAUUAGAUACCCCAGCAGUUUGAGCAGACAAUGAUGAAUGUCAUAGAUUAGAGAUAGUCUUAUUCUAUAAAUAUAGAUUAGAUAACCUUUUGUCUAUAAAUGAAAGUGUAAGCAUUCCACCUCAAGAGUAAUGCGGCAACGCAGAAACUGAAAUCAUUAGACCGUUUCUGAAACCAGUAGUGAAGUAUGUUGUUUAAUUCGUAGUUACGCGAAAAACCUUACCACAAUUUGAAUAUUUYUAUAUUUAUAUGUAUAUUAAUACAAGCGUUGCACGGCUGUCUUCAGUUAAUGUCGUGAGAUUUUGGUUAGUUCCAUUAAAUUAACGUAAACCCUUACUUUAUUUGUUUUUAUAAAGUAGUUCACCGCUAUAUUGGAU
RNAcentral lists this ribosomal RNA (942 nucleotides) under Dothideomycetes sp. Its description in RNAcentral is "SSU rRNA". It matches the Rfam family "Bacterial small subunit ribosomal RNA", at positions 198 to 1162 of the family's 1533-position model. Lineage: Eukaryota; Fungi; Ascomycota; Dothideomycetes. The record is from RNAcentral.